Oncorhynchus tshawytscha (Chinook salmon) is the source of this 3969-nucleotide long non-coding RNA. The record is from Ensembl. Lineage: Eukaryota; Metazoa; Chordata; Actinopteri; Salmoniformes; Salmonidae.
CUGCCAGUUCCUUGUGUGGCAGGUAACAGAGGGUUCGUAUCUACUUUCUGAAAGGCACUCAAUGCACUUAACUGACGUGAGCUAGCCAGCCUGCCAGGUAGAACAAUUUCAGAAAAAGGCAGAUCAGGCAACAGAGGGCACACAGACAGCAGAGCUGGUGACAGGUGGGCAGGGACAGACUGGCAGAGACAGGGAGUCUCAGGAGACUGAGUCAGUGAGGGUGGUGAAAGGGAAAGAGACAAGGAGAGAGACUUCAGAGGACAGUGUCACAGCCACGGCAGAACCAGGUGUCAACCUUGUUGCCAGCAGCACCAGUAUAGGGGACAGUGGCACGGCCACGGCAGGACCAGGUGUCAACCUUGUUGCCAGCUGAACCAGUAUAGCGGACAGUGGCACGGCCACGGCAGGACCAGGUGUCAACCUUGUUGCCAGCAGCACCAGUAUAGGGGACAGUGGCACAGCAUUGUCCAGUUACCUCAGUGAUGGCACAAAACAAUAUCAGCCACACCCACAAUUUAUAGAACCGCAAACUCUUGCCAACAGAGUGUUGAGGUUUCAAGAGAGAUGGUUUUGCAAUUUCCCCUAGCUACAUUAUAAUCCAUCAGUAAAAGGAGUUUUGUGUUUUCACUGUAGCCAAGGGUUUUCAAGCCAGCCAUCUUUUGGCCAAAGAGCGGAUGCUGCCUUCAUUAGUGCAGGAUUUAGGAACGGGAGAAAAGCUAUUGUAAAAUUCACAGCACAUCAAAACGGCCAAACCCACCGCCACUGUGUAACUGUAACAGCACACCAGCUAAAUCCAAUCAGUGUCCAGUUAUCCAGCGCGUGGGGUAAACAGCAGAAAUGACAAAAGCUACCUUGCACUGUAUGAGAAAGCAACAACAUUGAUUGAAUCCAUUAAGACACUGUUACGGUUUUCUUGCGGUGAAGGAGAGUCGGACCAAAAUGCAGCGUGGUAUUCUUGAUACAUGUUUAAUGACGAUGAAAAAACGAACAAUACAACAAACGUAACGUGAAAACCUGUAAAGCCUAUCUUUUUUAAAUUUUUAUACAAAAUAAUUUAUUAUCUUCAAUACCAUUCAUUCUUUACAACUCAUAAUUUUCAUACAUACUCAAAUAAUGGUAUUUUAAUUGAACUAAUUUAACUAAACAAAACCCCAAACAAAACCUCAGGGGAGCAUCUUCCCUCCCCGUCACCCUACAAACACCUAUCCCUAUCUCCCCAUCCCUAAUCUAUCCCCUUACAAAUCUAAAUGACACCCAGCCCUAAACCCCCCUUCCACCUCUCCCGAGCAGCAUGCUGCCCCCACUUCCUCUCCUCCCUCUUCAUCCUCCCCCUCAAAUCUCCUUCCACCCUCCUCACUAUCCCUUCCACCCCCCAAUCUCUCCCUGUCUUCACCAUGUUCUGCCUGGCUUCCCACAGCCCCCGUUUAAAGAGACUCAUGAGAAGCCAGAGCAGAAACCUGUCCCUAUCCGUCCCCGACCUCCUCGUACAGGUGCCUGUGAUCUUAGACCACACCAUUACGCUUCUCGCCUGAUACGAGAAGAACACCCGCAGGAGGUAACCGGACGGGUGUAUCACUGGAUGAGCAAGCUCCGUUAACAAGAAAGAAACAAAAAUUGUGUCCAGCUUGAGGGGGAAAUGUGGUACCCCCCUACCUCCCUCCCCGAUGGGACAGAUCAUGUGUGCCCUGGCGACCCACUCGCACCUGCCACUCCACAUGAACUGAAACACAAGCCUCACUAGAGGCCUCCUCAGACAAGCCGGCAAUGGGUAGUUGUACGCCAAAUACAAAAGAGACGGCAACACAUUCACCUUUAGGACCAGGACUUUGCCCAUAAAAGACAAAUACCUAGCCUUCCACAUUGCUAGCUUCCUCUGUACCACUGCGAUACGCAUGUUCCAGUUUAGCGUCGCUGAGCCGGAGGUCUCAAAAUGGACCCCGAGAAUCCUCAGGGCCCCCUCACAGAGAGAGAACCCCCCCAGGCACAUCCGUUCUACUGUGCCAUCUUCCGAAAAACUUGACGGAAGACAUUGCAUGGUUCAGAACCGCUCCCAACGCUCGGGUGAAAUCCCCAAAGAUGGCAAGGGACCUUGUCAGGCACGAGUCCUUGCACAGCAGCAAGGAAGUGUCGUCAGCGUACUGCGCCAUCUUAACACGCAGCCCACCACUUCCAGGGAUCAACAAGCCUUCCACCCCUGUGUCUGCCCUAAUGGCAGCCCCCAGAGGCUCCAUGUACAGAACGAAGAGGAGAGCCGAGAGUGGGCACCCCUGCCUGACCCCAGACGAGAGGUCAAAAACGUCACCCAAGUGACUAUUUACACUAACUCGGCACCCCGCUCCGACAUAUAAUGUACAAAUCCAUCCUAUGAACUUCUCCCCAAAUCCUAAUCGACCUAACACUCUGAAUAAAAAUGAUCUAUUCACGCGAUCAAAGGCUUUCGCCUGAUCUAGCGCUGCUACCAUUAAAGGCAGUCCUCUAUCUUCAACCCAAGCGAUGGAGUCCCUGAUUAACUGUAGGUUCCAUCUAAUAGAGCGGCCCUCUACCCCGCACGUCUGAUCCUCAUGGACGACGUAUGGAGGGGCUGUGCGCAACCGGUCAGCUAAAACCAAUGCAAGUAGCUUGUAAUCUACACACAGCAUGGUCAACGGCCGCCAGUUGCCAAGGUCUGUUAAUUCCCCCUUUUUAUAUAAAAGUGACAGCACACCAACAGCCAUUGAUCCCCCCCGGGACCCCCGUCUCAAGGAUGGCCUUCAAGACUUCGAGGACCACCGGUCCAAGUAUACCCCAAAACUUGAGCUAAAACUCAGCCGGCAGCCCAUCCAUCCCAGGCACCUUCCCUUUUCCCAUCAUUCUAAGAGCGCUCUCAACCUCUUCUAGUGAGAUCUGGGCCUCCAUCACUUCUCUAAUGUCCUCCGGCAACCGCCUGGACAAGUGUUCUAAAAACACAUUUCCCUGCUCUUACAUCUAUUUCCCUUUCCUUAAAUAAACCUUGGAAAUGAUCAGUUGUCACCCUGACCAUAUCCUCUGGUUCUCUAACUAUACUACCAUUUUCUUCCCUAACGCCAUGCAUUACCUUCCUACUCUGUCUGGCCCUAACCGACUUAAAGAACAUAGCAGAACAAGUCUCCUUGUGUUCUAGAAAGCCACUAUGCGCACGCUCCAGGAAAGCUCGAGCCUUCCGCUCCCUGAGCUGCACCUUUAGGGUUGCGGAUCUCUCCCAGUCAAACGACCCGCCGAGGUUGCCUGCCUCGUACUCGAGUUCAAUUAACCUUUGGAUACGAUCCACCUCCCUCCUCUCCUCCCUUUUUUUCCUCUUGCAAUACCCUAUUAUAAAAGCCCUAAUCCUCACCUUAACUAAUUCCCACCACUCUAACACCCCCUCGCACAUGGCCCGGAGGCCUUCAUGCCUCCAAGAGAAACCAUAAAACCCGUCAACAAAAGCCUGCUCCUCCAGCACAUCCCGAUCUAACUUCCAGUACCCCCUAACAAAGAGGCAGACUGACGACCCCAUCUGCAGGAGAACCCCGUCGUGAUCCGAAAAGAAAACAGGCAACAGCCGCCCAGACGACUUACCCAAAGACCUGGGUACAAAAAUAUAGUUGAGCCUCCGCUCAACCCCCCUGGAGUUGCGCCAUGUAGGACCGGCCAUUUUCGGAGUAGUGUGCAGACCACCAUCAACCAGACCAUGGCAAGCCAUUAGCCCGGUAAUGGCGCCUGCACUGCUAUCCCCCCCUAUUCCUAAAUCUGUAUUAAAAUCCACCCUAUCACUAAUUUCCUAUUUGUGACACACAGGGGCGUCAGACAGUCCACCAUCUGCCUCCUGUCUGCCACCACCUGUGGCCCAUACACCACCACUAAUCUAAAUUUACAAUCCCUUAUCGUGACAUCCACCCCUAUAACCCUCCCCUGCAUUACCACAAAAGAAUCCUCCACUUUUACCUCCCUGUGCCCACACAAAAUCCCUACCCC